UACGUAGGGUGCAAGCGUUGUCCGGAAUUAUUGGGCGUAAAGAGCUCGUAGGCGGUUUGUCGCGUCGGCUGUGAAAACCCGGGGCUCAACCCCGGGCCUGCAGUCGAUACGGGCAAACUAGAGUGCGGUAGGGGAGACUGGAAUUCCUGGUGUAGCGGUGAAAUGCGCAGAUAUCAGGAGGAACACCGAUGGCGAAGGCAGGUCUCUGGGCCACUACUGACGCUGAGAAGCGAAAGCAUGGGGAGCGAACAGG
RNAcentral lists this ribosomal RNA (253 nucleotides) under uncultured bacterium. Its description in RNAcentral is "partial 16S ribosomal RNA". It matches the Rfam family "Bacterial small subunit ribosomal RNA", at positions 524 to 776 of the family's 1533-position model. The record is from RNAcentral.